Molecule: non-coding RNA, 76 nt
Organism: Salmo salar (Atlantic salmon)
Lineage: Eukaryota; Metazoa; Chordata; Actinopteri; Salmoniformes; Salmonidae
Source: the annotation of a RefSeq genome assembly
GGUCCCGUGUGGCUCAGUUGGUAGAGCAUGGUGUUCGCAAUGCCAGGGUAGUGGGUUCGAUUCCCACGUGGGACCA